RNAcentral lists this ribosomal RNA (278 nucleotides) under uncultured bacterium. RNAcentral's name for it is "partial 16S ribosomal RNA". It matches the Rfam family "Bacterial small subunit ribosomal RNA", at positions 29 to 334 of the family's 1533-position model. The record is from RNAcentral.
AACGAACGCUGGCGGCAGGCCUAACACAUGCAAGUCGAACGAAGCCUUCGGGCUUAGUGGCGGACGGGUGAGUAACACGUGGGAACAUGCCCUUGGGUACGGAACAACAGUUGGAAACGACUGCUAAUACCGUAUGAUGUCUUCGGACCAAAGAUUUAUCGCCCAAGGAUUGGCCCGCGUAAGAUUAGAUAGUUGGUGGGGUAACGGCCUACCGAGUCUACGAUCUUUAGCUGGUCUUAGAGGAUGAUCAGCCACACUGGGACUGAGACACGGCCCAG